This 429-nucleotide ribosomal RNA is filed under the name Bacteroidota bacterium. RNAcentral describes it as "Bacteroidetes bacterium partial 16S ribosomal RNA". It matches the Rfam family "Bacterial small subunit ribosomal RNA", at positions 355 to 776 of the family's 1533-position model. The record is from RNAcentral. Lineage: Bacteria; Pseudomonadati; Bacteroidota.
UAGGGAAUCUUCGGCAAUGGGGGGAACCCUGACCGAGCAACGCCGCGUGAGUGAAGACGGUUUUCGGAUCGUAAAGCUCUGUUGUUAAGGAAGAACGAGUGUGAGAAUGGAAAGUUCAUACUGUGACGGUACUUAACCAGAAAGGGACGGCUAACUACGUGCCAGCAGCCGCGGUAAUACGUAGGUCCCGAGCGUUGUCCGGAUUUAUUGGGCGUAAAGCGAGCGCAGGCGGUUAGAUAAGUCUGAAGUUAAAGGCAGUGGCUCAACCAUUGUAGGCUUUGGAAACUGUUUAACUUGAGUGCAGAAGGGGAGAGUGGAAUUCCAUGUGUAGCGGUGAAAUGCGUAGAUAUAUGGAGGAACACCGGUGGCGAAAGCGGCUCUCUGGUCUGUAACUGACGCUGAGGCUCGAAAGCGUGGGGAGCGAACAGG